This 434-nucleotide ribosomal RNA is filed under the name uncultured bacterium. RNAcentral describes it as "partial 16S ribosomal RNA". It matches the Rfam family "Bacterial small subunit ribosomal RNA", at positions 29 to 507 of the family's 1533-position model. The record is from RNAcentral.
AGCGAACGCUGGCGGCAGGCCUAACACAUGCAAGUCGAACGAACCUUUCGGGGUUAGUGGCGGACGGGUGAGUAACACGUGGGAACGUGCCUUUAGGUUCGGAAUAACUCAGGGAAACUUGUGCUAAUACCGAAUGUGCCCUUCGGGGGAAAGAUUUAUCGCCUUUAGAGCGGCCCGCGUCUGAUUAGCUAGUUGGUUGAGGUAAUGGCUCACCAAGGCGACGAUCAGUAGCUGGUCUGAGAGGAUGAUCAGCCACAUUGGGACUGAGACACGGCCCAAACUCCUACGGGAGGCAGCAGUGGGGAAUCUUGCGCAAUGGGCGAAAGCCUGACGCAGCUAUGCCGCGUGAAUGAUGAAGGUCUUAGGAUUGUAAAAUUCUUUCACCGGGGACGAUAAUGACGGUACCCGGAGAAGAAGCCCCGGCUAACUUCGUG